UGGCGGUAGGCUUAACACAUGCAAGUCGAGCGGUAACAGGCAUUUUGAUUCAGCUUGCUGAAUCUCGCGCUGACGAGCGGCGGACGGGUGAGUAACGCGUAGGAAUCUACCUAGUAGAAGGGGAUAGCCCGGGGAAACUCGGAUUAAUACCGUAUACGUCCUUAGGGAGAAAGAGGGCUUAGCUUAGAUGCUCUCGCUAUUAGAUGAGCCUGCGUAAGAUUAGCUUGUUGGUGAGGUAAAGGCUCACCAAGGCUACGAUCUUUAGCUGGUCUGAGAGGACGAUCAGCCACAUUGGGACUGAGACACGGCCCAGACUCCUACGGGAGGCAGCAGUGGGGAAUAUUGGACAAUGGGCGCAAGCCUGAUCCAGCCAUACCGCGUGUGUGAAGAGGGCCUUCGGGUUGUAAAGCACUUUAAGUAAGGAAGAAAAGUAUACUGUUAAUACCAAUGUACCGUGACAUUACUUACAGAAUAAGGACCGGCUAAUUCCGUGCCAGCAGCCGCGGUAAUACGGAAGGUCCAAGCGUUAAUCGGAAUUACUGGGCGUAAAGCGCGCGUAGGUGGUUUAUUAAGUUGGGUGUGAAAGCCCCGGGCUCAACCUGGGAACUGCAUCCAAAACUGAUUCACUAGAGUACGAAAGAGGGAGGUAGAAUUCACAGUGUAGCGGUGGAAUGCGUAGAUAUUGUGAAGAAUACCAAUGGCGAAGGCAGCCUCCUGGUUCUGUACUGACACUGAGGUGCGAAAGCGUGGGUAGCGAACAGGAUUAGAUACCCUGGUAGUCCACGCCGUAAACGAUGACAACCAGCUGUUGGGAAGCAAUGCUUUUCAGUGGCGCAGCUAACGUCUUAAGUUGUCCGCCUGGGGAGUACGGCCGCAAGGUUAAAACUCAAAUGAAUUGACGGGGACCCGCA
This 911-nucleotide ribosomal RNA is filed under the name uncultured Gammaproteobacteria bacterium. Its description in RNAcentral is "bacterial SSU rRNA". It matches the Rfam family "Bacterial small subunit ribosomal RNA", at positions 37 to 925 of the family's 1533-position model. The record is from RNAcentral. Lineage: Bacteria; Pseudomonadati; Pseudomonadota; Gammaproteobacteria.